GGCAAUAUGGCCGAGUGGUCUAAGGCGCCAGAAUCAGGAUGCUGUCCAUCUGGUCCUCCGGGGCGAGGGUUCGAAUCCCUCUGUUGUCA
This is a non-coding RNA of Mycena rosella, 89 nucleotides long. The record is from the annotation of a GenBank genome assembly. Lineage: Eukaryota; Fungi; Basidiomycota; Agaricomycetes; Agaricales; Mycenaceae.